Molecule: ribosomal RNA, 253 nt
Filed under: uncultured bacterium
Lineage: Bacteria
Description: partial 16S ribosomal RNA
Rfam family: Bacterial small subunit ribosomal RNA
Source: RNAcentral
UACGGGGGGAGCAAGCGUUGUUCGGAUUUACUGGGCGUAAAGGGCGCGUAGGCGGUCGUGACAAGUCACUUGUGAAAUCUCCGGGCUUAACUCGGAACGGUCAAGUGAUACUGUCGGACUAGAGUACAGAAGGGGCAACUGGAAUUCUCGGUGUAGCGGUGAAAUGCGUAGAUAUCGAGAGGAACACCUGCGGCGAAGGCGGGUCUCUGGGGCCGAUACUGACGCUGAGGACGAAAGCGGUGGGAGCAACAGG